GAUCAAGCUAAAAAGGGCAUACGGUGAAUGCCUUGGCAUCAAGAGCCGAAGAAGGACGUGAUAAGCUGCGAAAAGCUGCGGGGAGCUGCACAUAGGCCUCGAUCCGCAGAUAUCCGAAUGGGGAAACCCGGCAGGCAAAACCUGUCACUGCUGCAUGAACCAAAUAGUGCAGUAGAGGGAACCCGGUGAACUGAAACAUCUAAGUAGCCGGAGGAAAAGAAAUCAAAAGAGAUUCUCCUAGUAGCGGCGAGCGAACGGGGAAGAGCCCAAACCAUGGAGCUUCGGCUCUGUGGGGUUUAGGACAGCGAAAGGCAAGAUAUUGGUUAGUGGAACACUUUUGGAAAAGGUGACCAAAGGGGGUGAAAGUCCCGUACACGAAAACUGAUUGAAGCUGGCUGGAUCCAGAGUACCACCAGACACGAGGAAUCUGGUGGGAAGACGGGGAGACCACUCUCCAAGGCUAAAUACUACUUGAUGACCGAUAGAGGAAUAGUACCGUGAGGGAAAGGUGAAAAGAACCCCGGGAGGGGAGUGAAAGAGAACCUGAAACCGUAUGCUUACAAGCAGAUACAGCACUAUUAGAGAGUGUAGUAUCGUACUUAUUGAAGAACGGGCCAGCGAGUUACUAAGUGGAGCGAGGUUAAGAUGUUCAGCAUCGGAGCCGUAGGGAAACCGAGUCUUAAGAGGGCGUAAUAGUUGCACUGAGUAUACCCGAAACCGGGCGACCUAUCCAUGAGCAGGUUGAAGCGGAGGUAAAGCUCUGUGGAGGACCGAACGGACACCUGUUGAAAAAGGUGCCGAUGACUUGUGGAUAGCGGAGAAAUUCCAAUCGAGCUCGGAGAUAGCUGGUUCUCCUCGAAAUAGCUUUAGGGCUAGCGUCGUGAAGUAAUAUCCGGAGGUAGAGCACUGAAUGGUCGCGGGGAUGUCAAAGUCUACCAACACUUAUCAAACUACGAAUGCCGGAUAUUAGCAGCGGCAGUCAGACAGUGGGAGCUAAGUUUCAUUGUCAAAAGGGAAACAGCCCAGAUCAUCAGCUAAGGUCCCCAAGUACAGGUUAAGUGGAGAAGGAUGUGGGAAUGCUAAGACAACCAGGAUGUUGGCUUAGAAGCAGCCACUCAUUCAAAGAGUGCGUAAUAGCUCACUGGUCGAGUGAUCCUGCGCCGAGAAUGUCCGGGGCUAAAACCUGUCACCGAAGCUAUGGAAUUGUGAUUACACAAUUGGUAGAGGAGCGUCGUAUACGGACUGAAGCCGUACCGUAAGGAGCGGUGGACUGUAUAGGAGAGAGAAUGCUGGCAUGAGUAGCGAGAGGGAGGUGAGAAUCCUCCCCAUCGAAAGUCUAAGGUUUCCUGGGGAAGGCUCGUCCUCCCAGGGUAAGUCGGGGCCUAAGGCGAGGACUUGAUGGUCGUAGUCGAUGGACAACAGGUUGAUAUUCCUGUACUACCGGCAAUUGCGUAACUGAAGCAGUGACACAGAAGGAUAGUUUGAGCGGGAUGAUGGUAGAACCCGUCCAAGCGCGGGUCUUGAGAUUAGUGAAGUACGGUCUCAUUAAGGAUUACGCGUGAUGGGGAACGAACAUAAGUAGUGAAGCGAAUGAAUCCACGCUGGCGAGAAAAGCUGCUAGGGAGAUUGCAGGUACCCGUACCGCAAACCGACACAGGUAGACGAGGAGAGAAUCCUAAGAUGAGCGAGAUAAGCAUUGUUAAGGAACUAGGCAAAAUGACUCCGUAACUUAGGGAGAAGGAGUGCCUCGAGAGAGGUCGCAGUGAAGAGUCCCAAGCGACUGUUUAACUAAAACACAGGUCUGUGCAAACACGAGAGUGGAAGUAUACGGGCUGACGCCUGCCCAGUGCCGGAAGGUUAAGGGGAACUGUUAGUGCAAGCGAAGCAGAGAACUUAAGCCCCGGUGAACGGCGGCCGUAACUAUAACGGUCCUAAGGUAGCGAAAUUCCUUGUCAGGUAAGUUCUGACCCGCACGAAUGGCGUAACGAUUUGGGAACUGUCUCAACAAUGUACUCGGCGAAAUUGUAGUAUGAGUGAAGAUGCUCAUUACCCGCGAUAGGACGGAAAGACCCCGUAGAGCUUUACUGUAGUUUGGUAUUGGAUUUUGGUAUCAGUUGUAUAGGAUAGGUGGGAGCCUGGGAAGCGAAGACGCCAGUUUUCGCAGAGGCGCCGUUGGAAUACCACUCUGCUGAUACUGGGACUCUAACACACGGCCGUGAUCCGGCGUGUGGACAGUGCCAGAUGGGCAGUUUGACUGGGGCGGUCGCCUCCGAAAGAGUAACGGAGGCGCCCAAAGGUCUCCUCAGCAUGGUCGGAAAUCAUGCAAAAGAGUGCAAAGGCAGAAGGAGGCUUGACUGCGAGAGUGACAAUUCGAGCAGGUACGAAAGUAGGGCUUAGUGAUCCGGCGGCAGAGAGUGGAAUUGCCGUCGCUCAACGGAUAAAAGCUACCUCGGGGAUAACAGGCUGAUCUUCCCCAAGAGUCCACAUCGACGGGAAGGUUUGGCACCUCGAUGUCGGCUCGUCGCAUCCUGGGGCUGAAGCAGGUCCCAAGGGUAUGGCUGUUCGCCAUUUAAAGCGGCACGCGAGCUGGGUUCAGAACGUCGUGAGACAGUUCGGUCCCUAUCCGUCGUGGGCGCAGGAAGUUUGAGAGGAGCUGUCCUUAGUACGAGAGGACCGGGAUGGACGUACCAAUGGUGUACCGGUUGUUCCGCCAGGAGCAUGGCCGGGUAGCUAAGUACGGACGGGAUAAACGCUGAAAGCAUCUAAGCGUGAAGCCUCCCUCAAGAUAAGACUUCCCAUUCUAUAUGAAGUAAGACCCCUUGCAGACUACAAGGUUGAUAGGGCAGAGGUGGAAGUGCAGUAAUGCAUGGAGCUGACUGUUACUAAUAGGUCGAGGGCUUGAUCUAAAA
This 2909-nucleotide ribosomal RNA is filed under the name Clostridiales bacterium. RNAcentral's name for it is "23S ribosomal RNA". It matches the Rfam family "Bacterial large subunit ribosomal RNA". The record is from RNAcentral. Lineage: Bacteria; Bacillati; Bacillota; Clostridia; Eubacteriales.